Molecule: long non-coding RNA, 2147 nt
Organism: Lolium rigidum
Lineage: Eukaryota; Viridiplantae; Streptophyta; Magnoliopsida; Poales; Poaceae
Exons: 3
Source: RefSeq, a predicted model, not a curated record
AAGCUAAAAAAAAAAACCCUCAUCGCACCGGUGGUGGUUGCGGCGGCGACAUGAACGUCCUCUCACUGUCUCACGCCUUCCAAGAACACUAGGAUCUUCCUCCUUGACGUCCUCCCAGCGGCUACCAUCUAGGGUUAUGGUAUCGGGGGAGGAAAGGGGCUGGGAAGGAGAUAUGUCGUGCCGGUGUCGCCACGGUCUUCUGGUCUUCCACCCCUCCCGUCACUUCCACUUUCCACUCGAAAGGGAGUAUUCUGGUGACUCCGGUGGAUUUAUCACGGGCUCGUGGCUCAGGAACAACAAGGGCAGGGGAGGAGAUACACACAUGACGAAGAUUCUGGAGAAAAACGACUACACCUUCAUAUGUGUGAAUCCAUACAUAACGAAAUAAGGUUGUAGAAGAAUAUCAGGCCUCUACAAUAUCACAUUUUAAAUCAAGGACCACUCUAUUGAAUUUUAUUACAGCUGCGAUGUCAACUCAGCUGAAUCUCUUGUCCACGUGUCUAUGCAGUAUGUCAUUUUUUGUGCACUUGAAACCUGUUCUGUUUGAAUCAACUCGAAUCACCAGCCAUGGUCCUAUUAGCUUGGCUUUUUUCUCCAUUUGUCUUUUGUUUAAAGAGGCGGAAGGUUCUCAGAUGGUUGGGAUUCAUGUGAUCGACGAGCAAAAAGAUGUAACAAGCCAAACCAUGAUAUACCUAGCACAGCUGAAACCAGCGGUAACAACAAAGCUUGUCAGGUAAGGAACAAUCCAUCCCCUGGUUUUCACCUUUGUCUCAUUUACAUAAUGCCCCUUGUUUUGCUGUAGUUUGUGAUCCAAAAGAAGUCCAUUACGACAUGCACAUAUUACUUGGCUCCAAACCAAAAUAUCAGCAUGAUAGAAUGCCGUAAUUAAACCAGGAGACUGGCAAUUGUGUAUGGUUACAAAUCUUUGUGUGAUCUGUACUGAGCCAAGGUUCCUUCACAAUGAUACAAAGUAGAAAUGUUGCAUAAAAGAACAUGCCAUUUUAAUUAUGAAAACUUUACAGCCCCCAAUUGAAAAUGAUACUUUCUCCGAUCCAAAAUAAGUGUCGGUGACUUAUUAGAAACUCUAUACUAAAUUAGUACAAAAUUUCAAACACUUAUAUGGAUCUGAGGGAGUAGUUUAGAAUGAUUUCUGACUGAUUAUGCUAGAAAGUUUAUCUCAUCUGUCUCUCUGGAGCACGAUUUCGAGGCGUAAGUUUUAACCAUGCACAUAAUGCCUUUUAGUUAAGAAAACAGUGCAGCCUCCAAUUGUUAUUACUGAUUGAUUACAUUAGAAAUUUUAUCUCUUCUAUCUGUAUUAAGCACAAUUCUGAGAUGUAGGUUUUCAGUUUUAACCAUGCCCAUACCUCAUACCGCCUUCAGCUUUUUUCGUGUUGCAGAAAGGAGCAUGGCCUCAUAAUAGUUAAAUUAAGAAAAAACUCUGCUGCCCCCAACUGUUCUGAUAUGCCGGUUGGGUUAGAGUUUUUAGUGCUGACUUUUAGAAAGUUCGUACUAUCUGUUGGAAGCACAAUUUUGAGAUUUAUGUCUCUUUAAUCAUACCGUGCCUUCAGAUGUUCUCUUCCCGAACGUACUGUUAUUUCUUGAAAUAAAGCUACAUGUGAAGGUUCAGUUCUUGUUGUAAAUGUCUUUGUUAGGAUCUUCUUGGUAUCGGCCAUAACCAUCCAUAAUGAGGCAUUGGUUCCAGGUCUGAUUGAGAUAUCCAACUCUUCCGUCCUGCUAAACUGAAGACUGUAUAAAGCGAAAAUUAUAAUGUGAGGUAAAACUAAAGAUUGUACCAGGGAUAGAGCACGACAAUACGAGAUGUGAGCUGAUGGAACACACUUGCAGACUGCAAUACAAAUACAACAUCUCGUUUUCGAUACUCUGGAAAAGAAUGUUGCGUUGACUUUUGCAUUGCUAGCUAACAUACAUUCUGCAUAUAAGAAAACUUUCAGUAGUAGCAAACAUGAGGCUAUCUAGCUAUACAUACAGCUCCCAUAUAUGGUGGCGCAAUUUCAGUAACAAACAUGAGGCUGCCACUUGCUACCUCAGCCAUUGUAAGUUGGUACACCUAAAUUUACGUACGCCAUGAGGAUGAUGAAGAUGUUAGAAGUGGUUGUCUUACCUCAGCCAUUAAACAAUGAUGUUGU